RNAcentral lists this ribosomal RNA (769 nucleotides) under uncultured Comamonadaceae bacterium. Its description in RNAcentral is "bacterial SSU rRNA". It matches the Rfam family "Bacterial small subunit ribosomal RNA", at positions 28 to 800 of the family's 1533-position model. Lineage: Bacteria; Pseudomonadati; Pseudomonadota; Betaproteobacteria; Burkholderiales; Comamonadaceae. The record is from RNAcentral.
AUUGAACGCUGGCGGCAUGCCUUACACAUGCAAGUCGAACGGUAACAGGUCUUCGGAUGCUGACGAGUGGCGAACGGGUGAGUAAUACAUCGGAACGUGCCCGAUCGUGGGGGAUAACGAAGCGAAAGCUUUGCUAAUACCGCAUACGAUCUACGGAUGAAAGCAGGGGACCGCAAGGCCUUGCGCGAACGGAGCGGCCGAUGGCAGAUUAGGUAGUUGGUGGGAUAAAAGCUUACCAAGCCGACAAUCUGUAGCUGGUCUGAGAGGACGACCAGCCACACUGGGACUGAUACACGGCCCAGACUCCUACGGGAGGCUGCAGAUCUGAAUUUUGGAAUUGGGCGAAAGCCUGAUCCAGCCAUGCCGCGUGCCUGAUGAAGGCCUUCUGGUUGGAUACUGCUUUUGUACGGAACCAAAAGACUCUGGUUAAUACCUGGGGUCCAUGACGGUACCGUAAGAAUAAGCACCGGCUAACUACGUGCCAUCAGCCGCGGUAAUACGUACGGUGCAAGCGUGAAUCCGAAUUACUGGGCGUAAAGCGUGCGCAAGCGGUUAUAUAAGACAGAUGUGAAAUCCCCGGGGCUCAACCUGGUAACUGCAUUUGUGACUGUUUAGCUAGAGUACUGCACAGGGGGAUGGAAUUCCGCGUGUAGCUGUGAAAUGCGUAGAUAUUCACAGUACCCCGAUGGCUAAUGAAAUGCCUGGGGGCAGUCUGCACUCAUGCAUGAAGCGGGGGGGCUCCCACGCUUAAUAUACUCGUAGUUCAGGG